UCAAAAUUUAGUUGUGAUCAGCUUUUGUAUGAAAUGGGACAGCUAAAUUUAAUAUUCGUACAAAAGCUGAUCACAACUAAAUUUUGAACAUCGGUACAUUUGAGGUCGAACUCUCUAGAAUAAAUCUGCACAAAAUUUACAUUAACAUUCAUGUUGAGUUGUGUACUCCAAAUCCAAUCACUGUGACCAGUUUUCCCUUCUGUGGCCUAAAAUUCAGUGUCAAAGCAACCUAGCAUGAUCUUUGAAACCAUUGACCUUGCAAAGGGGAUGUAGCUCAAGCUAUACCAAACCAGUGCACCAAAUUCAAGAACGAUUGCCAAAAGUGUCAAAAGCUUGUUAUGAACAUAUAGCGCACAGAACAAGGCAAUAAUUAUACUUGCAAGAUACAAGGCUGUUGCAUAUAUACGAACAGGAUCAAGCAUCAUAGUCACUUGACGUUUUGGGCCUAUUAGAAAUGCUGUGCUUCCGAGUGAAAGCAAAUUGCCAAAUGUGAACGUAAUCCCAAACUUAACUGGAUUGAAAAAGACCAGCAUUGACAAAAGGGUACAAGCUAAGCCAGAAACAAAGCAUAUGGCAAAACCGUAAAGCCGCUGUUUGGUGGAGAGGGUGCAGCUGCGAUUGAAAUCGUCCAUGAAAGAGAAGGAACUGGAGUCCUCUGGUUCCGGGGCUUGCUCUUCGUCUUCCACUUCCAUUCCCACUAGCAUCUUCAUCUUCUCGAAUGCUUGGUUCAUCUUCUCCAUUUCUUUUGGGAACUGGAUCUGUCUUCUGGGAACUGGAUCUGUUUGUCAGGAUUUUGUUUUUAUUUUAGAGAGAAAUUAGAUUUGAUUGCUUCAAUUCUAAGUUGCAGUCAGCGAUAAGCAAAGAU
This 865-nucleotide unclassified non-coding RNA is filed under the name Hevea brasiliensis (rubber tree). The record is from RNAcentral. Lineage: Eukaryota; Viridiplantae; Streptophyta; Magnoliopsida; Malpighiales; Euphorbiaceae.